RNAcentral lists this long non-coding RNA (493 nucleotides) under Ursus maritimus (polar bear). Its description in RNAcentral is "lncRNA (ENSUMAG00000001351.1)". The record is from RNAcentral. Lineage: Eukaryota; Metazoa; Chordata; Mammalia; Carnivora; Ursidae.
GUUUGAUAACCGGGAUCCUGAAUCCCGAAAGGUGAGUACUGGGAUCUGUGUCCUGGGUGCUGGUCCAAGCACUCAGUGCCUUUACUCUCUCCUGUCUGAUGGACAGUAGUUCCGUGUGGCACAAUUUGUGGCGAGGCAAGGGAAGAAGGCGAGAAGAAAACUGCACGGGAUCUGUGGAGGUCUUCCCAUAGGCCUACACUAGGGCUGUUUACCACUGGAAGCCAGGGAAAGGGGGAGACUGGCCUGGAACCGUUGAAGAUCUGCCUGCAGGUCUGCUGUAGGGCUUGAGAUUACUGGAAGCAAAGAAACAAGGAGGAAAUUGCCCCUGAUCAGUAUAGACUGGUCCACAGAUCUCAUGAGUUAAUAGAUCUACUUUAGGGUAUAUCACCAAUCAAGAGAAGGAAAGAGGAGGGAACUGCCUUGAUCAUUACAGGUUGGUAUGAGGGUGGGGACCUUUGGGAGUGGUGACAAGAGUAGGUCCAGUAAAAAUCAA